CGUAAAGAACCUGCCUCAUAGACUGGGACAACUAUUGGAAACGAUAGCUAAUACCGGAUAACAGUAUUUCUCGCAUGAGAGAUAUUUAAAAGUUGGUUAUGCUAACACUAUGAGAUGACUUUGCGGUGCAUUAGCUAGUUGGUGGGGUAAAGGCCUACCAAGGCGACGAUGCAUAGCCGACCUGAGAGGGUGAUCGGCCACACUGGGACUGAGACACGGCCCAG
Molecule: ribosomal RNA, 224 nt
Filed under: uncultured bacterium
Lineage: Bacteria
Description: partial 16S ribosomal RNA
Rfam family: Bacterial small subunit ribosomal RNA
Source: RNAcentral